RNAcentral lists this long non-coding RNA (302 nucleotides) under Carica papaya (papaya). Its description in RNAcentral is "long non-coding RNA (CPAP_LNC016262)". Lineage: Eukaryota; Viridiplantae; Streptophyta; Magnoliopsida; Brassicales; Caricaceae. The record is from RNAcentral.
CAAGUCCCCUCAGUCUAUCCUCAGCCUGGCCCAGUCCCUUUUCCGCGGGACUCAACUUCUUCCAUGAUUGACCCAGGCUACGUAGAAAGGUACAGGAGACUGAACCCAUCUACUUUUGUAGGGGAAUCCUCUUUUGAAGAUGCUCAGUACUGGUUGGCAAAGAUGGAGAAGGCCUUCAAGACCCUAGGAGUGACUCCCAAGUAGUGGAUCACCCUUGCUACCUACAUGCUGGUGGGAGAAGCAGACCACUAGUGGGAACUCAAGCAGACCACCCUGCCUGUUCCAGUUACUUGGGAACAAUU